AGGUCCUUGGUUAGUGGCGAACGGGUGAGUAACACGUAGGUGACCUGCCCCGAAGAGGGGGACAACCACUGGAAACGGUGGCUAAUACCCCAUGUGGUCCCGCAUUCGUUUGCGGGAUUAAAGGCUCCGGCGCUUCGGGAGGGGCCUGCGGCCUAUCAGCUAGUUGGUAGGGUAAUGGCCUACCAAGGCGAUGACGGGUAGCUGGUCUGAGAGGAUGGACAGCCACACUGGCACUGAGACACGGGCCAGACUCCUACGGGAGGCAGCAGUGAGGAAUAUUGCGCAAUGGGGGAAACCCUGACGCAGCAACGCCGUGUGGGCGAUGAAGGUCUUCGGAUCGUAAAGCCCUUUUCUCCCGGACGAGAAAGGACGGUACGGGAGGAAUAAGUGUCGGCUAACUACGUGCCAGCAGCCGCGGUAAAACGUAGGACGCAAGCGUUAUCCGGAUUCAUUGGGCGUAAAGGGCGUUUAGGCGGCGUCUUAGUUGGGCGUGAAAUCUUCCGGCUUAACUGGAAGGGUGCGUCCAAUACUGGGACGCUUGAGGGCGGCAGAGGGAGGUGGAAUUCCCGGUGUAGCGGUGGAAUGCGUAGAUAUCGGGAGGAACACCUGUGGCAAAGGCGGCCUCCUGGGCUGUACCUGACGCUGAAGCGCGAAAGCGUGGGGAGCGAACGGGCUUAGAUACCCCGGUAGUCCACGCCGUAAACGAUGGAUACUAGGUGUUGGUGGUAUUGACCCCAUCGGUGCCGCAGCUAACGCAUUAAGUAUCCCGCCUGGGGACUACGGCCGCAAGGCUAAAACUCAAAGGAAUUGACGGGGGCCCGCACAAGCAGCGGAGCGUGUGGUUUAAUUCGAUGCAACACGAAGAACCUUACCAGGGUUUGACAUGCACGUGGUAGGGAACCGAAAGGGGACCGACCCUUCGGGGAGCGUGCACAGGUGCUGCAUGGCUGUCGUCAGCUCGUGCCGUGAGGUGUUGGGUUAAGUCCCGCAACGAGCGCAACCCUCGUCGCUAGUUGUACUUUUCUAGCGAGACUGCCGAGAUAACUCGGAGGAAGGUGGGGAUGACGUCAAGUCAGCAUGGCCUUUAUGUCCCGGGCUACACACACGCUACAAUGGCCGGUACAAUGGGUUGCCAAGCCGCGAGGCGGAGCUAAUCCUAAAAAGCCGGUCUCAGUUGGGAUUGGAGUCUGCAACUCGACUCCAUG
RNAcentral lists this ribosomal RNA (1205 nucleotides) under uncultured Chloroflexota bacterium. RNAcentral's name for it is "bacterial SSU rRNA". It matches the Rfam family "Bacterial small subunit ribosomal RNA", at positions 82 to 1322 of the family's 1533-position model. Lineage: Bacteria; Bacillati; Chloroflexota. The record is from RNAcentral.